GUAACCCAACGCGGCCCCCAUAAGCCGGGAUGGUGCAAUUGAAGAGAAAAAGUAACCGAAAAUAUACUAUGUAACCAUAUCUCAAAACCAUAACCGUGAAUCCUUCCAUACAAUAAAUACCAUAAACAACCUCUCAAUGCCAGACUUGAAUCGGAAUUCAUGUAAUCAAUUACCGGACUUGAAUCGGAAUGCAUAGAUCAUAAAUCGCUGGACUUGAACUGAAACUAGUGUCAACUCACAAGUACCAAUCUAGCAUAAGCAUCAUGUAUCCAACCUCUUCAAACUCUAAUAUAUGUUUUUAAAAGAUAUAACACACCUAAUGAGUCUAAAAGGGGCUAACGAUAGUCUUGGCCUAAAGUGGGCCGGAGGGGCCCACUUAUAUUCCCCGAAAUCCGUUCUAAGGCAAAUUCUAUCCUAGACUAGGCUAAGGUAUCUAAUUCUACUAUUAGAUAUUAAAUAAGUCACCUUUAGUCCUAAGAUAUCAAUUCUACCUAAAGCAUGAGUAACUAAUCAAUUACACCUAAUUUAUGGUUCCUUAAUAGACUAAAUAUUCCAAAUAAUACUAAUUAUACCUCCAAGACCUAAUUCCAACCCAUAUCUAGCACAUUAUCAUGACUAUACUACACAUCAGGCCAAUCUAUGAGAUAGGUAAACCUAGCCUGCCUGGAUGCCGAAGAAAGCCCGGUGAAAUCCGCUAAAUCAGUGGUUUCCCUUCUCGAGAAGCUUCCGCAAGAUGCCACGCUAGCAAAAUGAUAAUCUACUCAUCAAUACGAGAACAACUGUACUCAUAUUGCCCUUUUGUGUGUCGGGUUCAAAAUUACGUAAAAAUCUCAUGUGGGGCUCGCUUGCAGAAUCGCACCUUCGAAACCGACAACAUGCCCCUUUACGCUCAAGGAACAUUUACUCUCAAGAAUGGGUAAAUUCUGAGCUCAAAUGGUGCUAAAUCAACCCACCAAUAAUCUAGGUAUUUUGGGAAAUUAUUGAGAAAUUAACCAUGCAAUUAAUGAAAACUUACCAAGAGUUUGGAGAAGAAACGAGUAAUUCAGGCUCACCAACUCCCCAAAAUUAUCUAUUAAUGUUCCUCCGAAGUUUUCACACUUUCUAGGGAUUUUCUCUCUUGAACUUGUGUGAAAAUGAGAGAAAAAUUGGGAAAAUGGGGCAUUUUAAUGGCUUCUAGGUGCCGCUAAAGCGGUAGCGAUACCCGCCUAUGCCUGGCAUGCCGCUAAAGCGGAAAAACCGGUGCUAAAACGGCUUGUGCUUUAGCGGUCAACUUGCCGCUAAAGCGGCUCGCUAGGGCUGGCUAGGCCGCUAAAGCGUCCUCUGCUAAAGUGCCUAAAGGGCCGCUUUAGCAGAUGCACCAACUGAAGACUUGAAAUUUUUCCAAGUCUCCACGGACCCUUUGGGAUUCGUUUGUAAUCCCGUAUACGCAAAUGAACGAUGCUACCCUAUCAAAUUCGACGUUCCAAACUCAAUGGUGCAGUCAACAUUUUCAUUCGAGGUCGUUUCGAUGAAAAGUGGGUCCCAAACCCAAAGUGCCAUUUUUCUUAAUUUCCGGCCAAUUGCCCGGAAUGAAUCCGGGAGCCUUGGAAUUCGAAGCAAAGGUCCACCUAGCCUAAAAUCGACGUUCUGGAGCUGUUGGAACUGUCAGAGUUGGCAUACGAGGUCGUUUGACUGAAGUUUUCGCCCAGUAGCCAACUUUACUAGCGAAGACUUCAAAAUAUGGAAUUGACUCUAAAAAUCAAACGAAUUGCUCGGUAAUUGAACUUGCAGCUCCAGUAAGUCAUAAUUGACUUAGGGCAGCUAUAGGAAAGCUCUAGACGAAAAUACGUGAAAUGGAGAAAAUGACCUGGAGGGUCACUAUAGCCUUGUAAAGAGACCACCUAUCUCAUUAAUCACCAAUGUGGGACAAUUUUCCUUCAGCACCUUACCUCAAGCCCAGGACUAGACAUUUGGUGCAUGUGCAAUUUUUAAUUUGGGGGCCCAACAUUGGGUGAGAUAGGUUCUGAUACCAUCUAAAAUUAGGUAUUGGACCUAACUCACACCUCAAAAGCUAGUUCAAAAGGAGGAGGAUUUCCCAAUCUUAUAAAGAGACCGACCACCCAUCUAACCACUAAUGUGAAACUUUUCUCAUUCUUCAGCACCUCUAUUGGUAUUAUUUGAUAUAGCUCGGGGGUGUCAAUUUGAACUUCUAGUUGGUUUAAAUGAAAGUUCCGACACUUUAUUCGCUAUUUCAAUAAUGCCGACAAAUGAAUAAUUUGGGGCUUGUCAUUCUGUUAAACAACUAGUCUUGUAAUUCCCUUCGUUUAUCUGUAUCGGAAGGGAGGCAUAGAAAGCAUAUGAUAGAAGACGAAACUACGAAAAAUGGAAACGACACAAAAAUAAAGGAAAAUAAGACAAUAAAAUAAAAGAUAGAUAGAUUGACAUAAAUCGAUAACGAGAGGACAACCAAGGGUAUACCAAACCUAGACCUUCCUAUCAAUCUUCAACAACACCAACCUCUUACGGGGACACAAACGAGAAUGGAUUCCCGAGCACCCACGUUUCUCACGAAUAAAGACACUCCCAACAAGAAAACUAGUUAUUUAUAGCCAUGAGCUAUUUUACACAAUGGGCCCAAAAGUGACCUAAAAGCUAUUGGGCCCAAAAGUGACCCAAGAGCCCAAACAAAACAAGGGGCGCCCAUACUCUCUCGAGGCCCACGCUAUCAUCCAAAUGCGGUGUUGCUCAACGCUCCUUUGGAUGACAUCUUCAAGUAUAGCUUCUCCCGCAUUCCAAGCUAUUAUCCACACGUGAUAUGGUUCUCGUGGGAGCUUAACAAGGGUACUCCAAACAUGUCUUAGCAUCCUCGAGAUGGUCAUGGCUUGAAAUCCCUUGUGUUGGCCUCGAAUUAUAUGCUCAAAUGCGGUGAUGCCAAUUUGGAUUGUAUCAGCAUAUUAUUCUAGUCCUAAUAAUCAUAAAAGACAAAUGUUUUGUGCUUUAGAUGUGUUUAAAAUAGAAGUAUCCGGGGUGUAACCGAAUGGUCAGUGAAGUGGGUGCAAACCUUGGAAACGAAGGGUCAAAUUCCAACCAAGAAAAGCAGCAACACUAGUUGAUUUGUUUCCAUCCGCUUAAGCUGUGGGUAGAGUUACUCGAUAUUUGUGUUGGUGGGUUAGCAUAUACCUAUUGGAAUAGUCGAAGUGCACACAAGUGGUUCACACCGUCGUUUAAAACGUAUCUGAAAUAGAAGUGUUAGUAGUCCUAAAGUGGUGGCUUGUGCUAGUCAAUGCUUUUGAAAGCGAAAAGCACAAAAAAAGGAUAAGGCUCUUGGGACUUUAAGUCGAGGAGCGAGUUAGGAAACAGUUGCUUAACCUACCGAAAAUAUAAAAUAAUGUCUUAUCACAUGGGAUUAUAGUUUGCAUUAUGUCAAAAUUGUAGUUACAUUUACUUAUUUCAAAAUCCAAUAUACUACAAAAACCAAUGUUUAUUGGAAGAUCUCCAAUUAAAUAUCAUUUAAAAUCGACAAGCCCACUAAAAGAUAACUCCAGCCACAAAAGUGACGUUCAAUGUCUAAUCAAUUGUUGAAGUAUCUCGGUGCUUCAUAAACAAUGCUUAGAUUAGCUUUAAUUGGGAAGGGAUACUUAUUUUUUUUUUUAAAAAAUAAAUUGAUAAAUUCCAUUAAAGUUAAAGGCAAAAGGAAGCCCGUACAUAAGAAGUAUUUGAAAAAAUAGAAAACCUACAAAAUUUAUAUGAUUUUCUACGAAUGACACCCAAGCUUCUAUACAUAAAGAAGCCUCAUGGGUACAUCAAAUCAAAAAGAAAUAAAGGAUAAGAGAUUGCUCUUUUUUUUUCCCAUUGCUACUUCCUAAAAAGUUCUCCUAUUUCUCUCUCCAAAAGAUCCACAUUGGCAUAAGUGCUAGUGACGCAACAUUCCAUGCCUUGCGUUCUCCUUCAUCCACCACAAUUUCCAGUAGGAUAUUACUUCUUUCACCGUGCCUGGCAUCAACGCAAAGUACACCAGACUAUCCCAAGAUUUCCCAGUAUGAUAUAGAGGCUGCAGAACAAUUUAAGAGGAGAUGGUUGACAUCUUUACUCGAGCCCUUCGCACAAACUACCAACAAAAUAUGUAACCUUUGUCUUCCUAAGAUUUGUAAGACCUUAUAUUUGCUAUCAACCUGUCUCCUAGAGACUUUCUUCGUCCAAAUCUCCAUAACCACUUUCCCAACAAGGCCUUUGAACAUCCUUAGAUCUAUAAUUCCCAAACCACCUCAACAUGUAGGAGUGGUAACGGUCUCCCACCGCACCAGCUUCCAUGCCUGUCUAUCGAAUUCCAUUAGAAAUUCUAUUACUGUCUUUCCAAUUUCCGUGGCUCAGAUGAGGCCUGGAAUCCAACUUUCUUGUGACAAAGAUGGAGCAAGGAACAAGGACAUGAAAUAUGUGGGUUUGCUCGAUAAUGUACUGUUAAAAAGGGCUUUCCUACCUCCUUUGGAUAAAUAUUUUUUCUGCCCUGCUGCUACUUCUUCUCAAGACACUGUAGUACCGGGAUCCACACUGUGUGAUACUUUAUUAUUGUCUCAUGUUUAGUCUAUAAUAAAGAAUUGUUGAAUAAAUAGAGAACAAACAAGAAAAGGAGAAAAAAAAAUCGUUGACAUCAAGAAAGAAUAGGAUAGAGAAGCUGAAGAGAAGCUUUAAACCAAAUUAAUAAAAGUAAAAAAUGCAGAGAGAAAAAGAAAAAGAAGAGCGAGUCAUCUUAAGAAGAAAUCAACCGAAACGAAGUAAAUCAAGAGAACUAUAAGAAGAGGCACAAGAAUGAGAGAAGAAAAAAUUAAGAGAGAAUCGAAACAUACCUAAACAGGAAACUUAGAUUCAAGAUAGCAAAAGCACAAGACAAUAUUUUAUUGUUUUUGGAUUUUUUAGCCUUUCCAAGUCAAAUUCAAAGAAGCGAUUGGUUCUAGCUCGGUACCAUUCCCUUGUAAUAGUAUUGUCGAAUUUGACUUUGAAAUAAAGCUUCGUUUCUUCUAUAAGUUGCUUCACUUCACCCAAGUGAAGUGAAACUCUCACUUCGUAAUGAUUCAUCGCUGUAAGGAACUGACUGAUUUCUUUGUUUAAUGCUGGUGCUAGCACUCGUCGAGUUUUCAAAUUUUGGCUACUUGAAGCUUUAUGUUGAUCUAUAAAUAUAGAACAAUCUUUAUGUUUUAAGUAAUUGGAUAACAAAGAGAAGAUGGGAACUGCCGAAGUAGAUCCAGCAGUAGUAGUAAAUUUUGUCUUGGUUGAACUUUGUUCACACAUUUCAGGUGGUAAGGUACCAUUCCCUCGUAAUAGACCCGAAAUCACUUCCAAAGGAACUCAUUCCUAUAGCUUGGACCUCAAUGGCUGAGACACUCCCUUUCCAUGGUGUCGGGCGAUCCAAUUCAUUCUUAAAUGCGUCCAAAGAAGUAGAAGAUAUUUUUGAUGGGAUGUUGGAGUUAUCAUGUGAUUCAAAGGAUCUUCAAAGUGAAAAAGUCCUCAUGGGCGUCAUGCAUUCAAGUAGGCCGCACUAUGGAUUGCAGGUGAGUUUGGUCAUUCACUUUGCACGAGAUCUACUCCUAUUUCACUAGUAUGUAACAUCGAUUUCGUUUCUCCUACCAGUUCCAUCCAGAAAGUGUUGCGACACGUCAUGGAAGACAGCUUUUCAAGAAUUUCCGGAAAAUCACAGAGUAUUAUUGGCUCCGGUUGACAUCAACCUCCAUCAAUGAAAGAAGGGUUCAUUAUGCUGGUAACUGCUCUAUAAAAUAGAGAUAGUCCAAUGAAGCUGCCUAUUUAGUAUCCUAUAGUCUCGUUGAGUUCUUUUCAUGGCAUUGGAUUAUUCGUUUAUUUGGAGAACUUUACAAAUGGUUUUCUGUCAAAGAAGUGUCUGGAUUAUCUAUCACUUGCUUCUGUAAUUAGUUUUGAGUUUCUCUUGUUUGCUAUUUAUCAUUGUGUGACUCCUAAAUCAUCAUCUAAAUGCUUUCAGCCUUUUCUAUUCUGUUUCAGUAGAUUGUCCACACAUUUACUCUGGGCGGUAAAAUUUACUUAGCAUGUUUGCAGGUGCCUAAUGUAGACCCACUGCCCGAAAGUGUUGCAAGACAUGAGCAUCUGCUGAAUAAAUUUAUUGAGCGAGGAACUGCCGUAGUGGAUGGAAGCUUACAUCUAUCACAUCCAGGUCACAGUGUAAAAUUUUUGAAGAUGACGUGGAAAAAAGUUGAUUGCUCUGCCAGCCAAGUUGGUGGAGCAGAUAAU
Molecule: long non-coding RNA, 6234 nt
Filed under: Capsicum annuum
Lineage: Eukaryota; Viridiplantae; Streptophyta; Magnoliopsida; Solanales; Solanaceae
Description: long non-coding RNA (CANN_LNC019113)
Source: RNAcentral